AUCAUCAGUAGUGGUUAUACUAUACUAUAUAAUAUAACUUACUUUACUAUAAAGACUACGGCAGGUUUUACUGAUAGUAUAUCGUAGAUGUGUACUAUUUAAGAUCUGUCCCAUUCAUUAACCCAAUAGCUAAGUAUUUUGAUUGACCUUGCUAACAACUCGGCCACAGUCAAUACUUCGUUUCGGUCUUUUAGAUGAAUCACGGCAUUU
This 210-nucleotide non-coding RNA is filed under the name Candida tropicalis MYA-3404. RNAcentral describes it as "Small nucleolar RNA snR37". It matches the Rfam family "Small nucleolar RNA snR37", at positions 1 to 275 of the family's 385-position model. The record is from Rfam by way of RNAcentral. Lineage: Eukaryota; Fungi; Ascomycota; Pichiomycetes; Serinales; Debaryomycetaceae.